GCAGUCGAGCGGAUGAAGGGAGCUUGCUCCUGGAUUCAGCGGCGGACGGGUGAGUAAUGCCUAGGAAUCUGCCUGGUAGUGGGGGAUAACGUCCGGAAACGGGCGCUAAUACCGCAUACGUCCUGAGGGAGAAAGUGGGGGAUCUUCGGACCUCACGCUAUCAGAUGAGCCUAGGUCGGAUUAGCUAGUUGGUGGGGUAAAGGCCUACCAAGGCGACGAUCCAUAACUGGUCUGAGAGGAUGAUCAGUCACACUGGAACUGAGACACGGUCCAGACUCCUACGGGAGGCAGCAGUGGGGAAUAUUGGACAAUGGGCGAAAGCCUGAUCCAGCCAUGCCGCGUGUGUGAAGAAGGUCUUCGGAUUGUAAAGCACUUUAAGUUGGGAGGAAGGGCAGUAAGUUAAUACCUUGCUGUUUUGACGUUACCAACAGAAUAAGCACCGGCUAACUUCGUGCCAGCAGCCGCGGUAAUACGAAGGGUGCAAGCGUUAAUCGGAAUUACUGGGCGUAAAGCGCGCGUAGGUGGUUCACCAAGUUGGAUGUGAAAUCCCCGGGCUCAACCUGGGAACUGCAUCCAAAACUACUGAGCUAGAGUACGGUAGAGGGUGGUGGAAUUUCCUGUGUAGCGGUGAAAUGCGUAGAUAUAAGAAGGAACACCAGUGGCGAAAGCGACCACCUGGACUGAUACUGACACUGAGGUGCGAAAGCGUGGGGAGCAAACACGAUUAGAUACCCUGGUAGUCCACGCCGUAAACGAUGUC
Molecule: ribosomal RNA, 760 nt
Filed under: Pseudomonas fluorescens
Lineage: Bacteria; Pseudomonadati; Pseudomonadota; Gammaproteobacteria; Pseudomonadales; Pseudomonadaceae
Description: bacterial SSU rRNA
Rfam family: Bacterial small subunit ribosomal RNA
Source: RNAcentral